GGCUAAGGCCAUAUCACCCUGAACGCACCCAAUCUCGUCUGGUCUUGAAAGCUAAGCAGGGUCCGGGCCUGGUUAGUACUUGGAUGGAAGACAGAUCUUCAGAAGAGACUGCUCAGAGACAAGCAGUUUAGAGA
This 134-nucleotide ribosomal RNA is filed under the name Castor canadensis (American beaver). The record is from RNAcentral. Lineage: Eukaryota; Metazoa; Chordata; Mammalia; Rodentia; Castoridae.